RNAcentral lists this unclassified non-coding RNA (270 nucleotides) under Cladophialophora sp. Its description in RNAcentral is "partial internal transcribed spacer region". The stretch from base 1 to 46 matches the Rfam family "Eukaryotic small subunit ribosomal RNA", at positions 1786 to 1831 of the family's 1831-position model. The record is from RNAcentral. Lineage: Eukaryota; Fungi; Ascomycota; Eurotiomycetes; Chaetothyriales; Herpotrichiellaceae.
AAGUCGUAACAAGGUUUCCGUAGGUGAACCUGCGGAAGGAUCAUUAACGAGUUAGGGUCUUCUAGGCCCGACCUCCCAACCCUGUGCUUAUUGAACCUUUGUUGCUUCGGCGGGCCCGUCUUUACGACCGCCGGAGGAUUGUCGAUCGACGUCCUCUGGCCCGCGCCCGCCGGUGGCCCAACUCCAAAACUCAUGAAUCAAUCGUGUCUUAUGUCUAAGUCCCAUGAUUAAAUCAAAACAAAACUUUCAACAACGGAUCUCUUGGUUCUG